Molecule: unclassified non-coding RNA, 322 nt
Filed under: Hevea brasiliensis (rubber tree)
Lineage: Eukaryota; Viridiplantae; Streptophyta; Magnoliopsida; Malpighiales; Euphorbiaceae
Source: RNAcentral
UGAUAGUAAGUAAACAAGUUUAUCCAAGAUAUACACUACUGACACAAGACAACAUAAAAGUUCCGAUGGAACCUUCAUCAAACUCAAAUUUGUAAUUAUAAAUCAAUAAAUACGUCGACCAGAUCAAUUCUGAGCUAACUGAGUUAAGAAAAUAAAUUGAAAUUUCAAAAGGUUUGCAGAAGGCAGAGGCGGCAUUGUCUUUCGCUUUUUCGCUUGAGAAUGAGAUUCAAGCUAUGAUAAAUUACACGCAAACAUCAAUCCAACAAAAUCCAAGUUCUAAAACAAAGUCUUAACAUUUUUCAUGUCCUAGACAAUGUAUGCA